UGUCUAAGUACGAGCCGUGUUCGCACGGCGAGACCGCGUACGGCUCAUUAAAUCAGUCGUGGUCCAGAUGGGCCAGUGCUUAUCCUACUUGGAUAACUGUGGUAAUUCCAGAGCUAAUAUAUGCAACUCAUACCCCGAAGGCCGCGCUCUUGCAGUGUGCGCUGGACGGGUGCUUUUAUUAGACCAAACCGCUGAGGGCGCGUUAGCCUCCCGGGGCGCGCGCUUGACUCGCAUGAUGGUGACUCUGGAUAACCUUUGACAAGCGCACGUACCACUCGUAUGAGCGGACGGCGCUGCCACUAUCGAGUGUCUGCCUUAUCAGCUAUCAACCGUUCGUUACGUGCGACCGAUGGCUUUGACGGGUAACGGGGAAUCAGGGUUCGAUUCCGGAGAGGCAGCCUGAGAGACGGCUACCACGUCCAAGGACGGCAGCAGGCGCGCAAAUUACCCAAUCCCAGCUUCUGGGGGAGGUAGUGACGAAAUCUAACGAUGCGGGCGCCCUUUCUAGGGCCCCGCAAUCGGAAUGAGCACUUUCUAAACAACCUGUUGAGAACCUACUGAAGGGCAAGUCUGGUGC
This 577-nucleotide ribosomal RNA is filed under the name Crangonyx sp. 1 TRS-2022a. RNAcentral's name for it is "SSU rRNA". It matches the Rfam family "Eukaryotic small subunit ribosomal RNA", at positions 56 to 567 of the family's 1831-position model. Lineage: Eukaryota; Metazoa; Arthropoda; Malacostraca; Amphipoda; Crangonyctidae. The record is from RNAcentral.